Molecule: ribosomal RNA, 420 nt
Filed under: uncultured bacterium
Lineage: Bacteria
Description: bacterial SSU rRNA
Rfam family: Bacterial small subunit ribosomal RNA
Source: RNAcentral
GGAAUAUUGGACAAUGGGCGAAAGCCUGAUCCAGCAAUGCCGCGUGUGUGAAGAAGGCCCUAGGGUUGUAAAGCACUUUCAGUGGGGAAGAAAAGCAGGGUGUUAAUACCACCCUGUGCUGACGUAACCCACAGAAGAAGCACCGGCUAACUCCGUGCCAGCAGCCGCGGUAAUACGGAGGGUGCAAGCGUUAAUCGGAAUUACUGGGCGUAAAGCGAGUGUAGGCGGCUGCGUGAGUCGGUUGUGAAAGCCCCGGGCUUAACCUGGGAAUUGCGAUCGAUACUGCGUAGCUAGAGUCUGAUAGAGGGAAGUGGAAUUCCAGGUGUAGCGGUGAAAUGCGUAGAUAUCUGGAGGAACAUCAGUGGCGAAGGCGGCUUCCUGGAUCAAGACUGACGCUCAGGCUCGAAAGCGUGGGUAGCA